RNAcentral lists this ribosomal RNA (433 nucleotides) under uncultured bacterium. RNAcentral's name for it is "partial 16S ribosomal RNA". It matches the Rfam family "Bacterial small subunit ribosomal RNA", at positions 29 to 507 of the family's 1533-position model. The record is from RNAcentral.
AGCGAACGCUGGCGGCAGGCCUAACACAUGCAAGUCGAACGAACUCUUCGGAGUUAGUGGCGGACGGGUGAGUAACACGUGGGAACGUGCCUUUAGGUUCGGAAUAACUCAGGGAAACUUGUGCUAAUACCGAAUGUGCCCUUCGGGGGAAAGAUUUAUCGCCUUUAGAGCGGCCCGGGUCUGAUUAGCUAGUUGGUGAGGUAAAGGCUCACCAAGGCGACGAUCAGUAGCUGGUCUGAGAGGAUGAUCAGCCACAUUGGGACUGAGACACGGCCCAAACUCCUACGGGAGGCAGCAGUGGGGAAUCUUGCGCAAUGGGCGAAAGCCUGACGCAGCCAUGCCGCGUGAAUGAUGAAGGUCUUAGGAUUGUAAAAUUCUUUCACCGGGGACGAUAAUGACGGUACCCGGAGAAGAAGCCCCGGCUAACUUCGUG